AUUGAACGCUGGCGGCAUGCCUUACACAUGCGAGUCGAACGGUAACGCGGGGCAACCUGGCGACGAGUGGCGCACGGGUGAGUAAUGCAUCGGAACGUGCCCAGAAGUGGGGGAUAGCCCGGCGAAAGCCGGAUUAAUACCGCAUGAGACCUGAGGGUGAAAGCGGGGGAUCGCAAGACCUCGCGCUUUUGGAGCGGCCGAUGUCAGAUUAGCUAGUUGGUGGGGUAAAGGCCUACCAAGGCGACGAUCUGUAGCUGGUCUGAGAGGACGACCAGCCACACUGGGACUGAGACACGGCCCAGACUCCUACGGGAGGCAGCAGUGGGGAAUUUUGGACAAUGGGCGCAAGCCUGAUCCAGCCAUGCCGCGUGCGGGAAGAAGGCCUUCGGGUUGUAAACCGCUUUUGUCAGGGAAGAAACGCUCUGGGCUAAUACCCUGGGGUAAUGACGGUACCUGAAGAAUAAGCACCGGCUAACUACGUG
Molecule: ribosomal RNA, 482 nt
Filed under: uncultured bacterium
Lineage: Bacteria
Description: partial 16S ribosomal RNA
Rfam family: Bacterial small subunit ribosomal RNA
Source: RNAcentral